RNAcentral lists this ribosomal RNA (460 nucleotides) under uncultured bacterium. RNAcentral's name for it is "partial 16S ribosomal RNA". It matches the Rfam family "Bacterial small subunit ribosomal RNA", at positions 338 to 795 of the family's 1533-position model. The record is from RNAcentral.
CCUACGGGAGGCAGCAGUGAGGAAUCUUGGUCAAUGGACGCAAGUCUGCACCAGCCAUGCCGCGUGCAGGAAGACGGCUCUAUGAGUUGUAAACUGCUUUUGUACGAGGGUAAACGCAGAUACGCGUAUCUGUCUGAAAGUAUCUUACGAAUAAGGAUCGGCUAACUCCGUGCCAACAGCCGCGGUAAUACGGAGGAUUCAAGCGUUAUCCGGAUUUAUUGGGUUUAAAGGGUGCGUAGGCGGUCGGAUAAGUUAGAGGUGAAAUCCCGAGGCUCAACUUCGGAAUUGCCUCUGAUACUGUGCGGCUAGAGAGGAGUUGCGGUAGGCGGAAUGUAUGGUGUAGAAGUGAAAUGCUUAGAGAGCAUACAGAACACCGAUUGCGAAGGCAGCUUACCAGGCUACUUCUGACGUUGAGGCACGAAAGCGUGGGGAGCAAACAGGAUUAGAUACCCGGGUAGUC